GCUGGUGUAGCUCAAUGGCCAGAGCAAUUGUCCUGUAAACAAUAGGCUGCAGGUUCGACUCCUGUCACCAGCU
This 73-nucleotide transfer RNA is filed under the name Acaryochloris marina MBIC11017. RNAcentral describes it as "tRNA-Thr (TGT) (tRNA-Thr-TGT-2-1)". It matches the Rfam family "tRNA". From Rfam's summary of the family: Transfer RNA (tRNA) molecules are approximately 80 nucleotides in length. Lineage: Bacteria; Bacillati; Cyanobacteriota; Cyanophyceae; Acaryochloridales; Acaryochloridaceae. The record is from Rfam by way of RNAcentral.